Molecule: non-coding RNA, 3596 nt
Organism: Hydra vulgaris (swiftwater hydra)
Lineage: Eukaryota; Metazoa; Cnidaria; Hydrozoa; Anthoathecata; Hydridae
Source: RefSeq, a predicted model, not a curated record
AGUUAAACUAAGUUUUAUUCUCAUGCUUAUUUUAUUUACAUGACUCUCUCAUAUAUAAUUUGUUGUAUUUCUUAAUUGAUUGGUUUUUGAACUAUUUUUGAUUGAUAAAAUCUAAAGAUAGGAAGAAUAAGCUCUCUAUAUAUAAGUGUUUAAAAAGUUCAAAAGUAUACUUCGAAUAAAUAUUAUGAAAAUGCACCAGGGAAGCCUUAAUCGAGAGUAUAAAGCAUAUGACAAGAGAGAUACAUAUAAAAAAAAUGAAAAUGAUUCUAUGGAGCGAACAGUUAAAGUUGAAGACAAUGGCUUAUCUUCUUCCUUACAAAAGGUGUCUAAUAGUUAUGCUAAUGUUGAUGAAGUUGAUUCUGCUGGUCAGACUGGUUCUAUGCAAAAAUUGGAUGUGGUAAGACAUCCUCAAACCAGUAACGAUUUAUCUUCUGCAGUAACUUCAUCUCCUAAAGUAUCAGAUACAAAAAAAGAAAGUAUUGAAUCUAGCUCAACAGCAUACAAAGGAAAGGGGGAAAAAAAGUUUAGUGGCAGGUGUCGUCUUUUUGUAGCUAACUUACACAACAGUACUACUGAAGCAGAUCUUCGUCAAUUAUUCUCACCAUUUGGUGAAAUUGGUGAAGUGUAUGUUAACAAAGAAAAAGGAUUUGGCUUUAUUCGAUUGGAUUAUCGUCACAAUGCUGAAGUUGCCAAAUGUCGUUUAGACAAAACUGUUUUCAAAGGUCGUGUUUUACAAGUUCGCUUUGCAACACAUGCAUCUGCAAUUGAACUUCAUGGUCUUGAUCGAUUUGCCUCAAAUGAAUAUAUUGAACAAGCGAUGAGUGCAUUUGGCAGCGUUGAACGUGUUGUAGUUGUUUGCAAUGAAAGAGGUUAUUCAAAAGGACAUGCAAUUGUGGAGUUUGAAUGGAAAAAAUCAGCUCAAAAAGUAUUGGAUAGAUUCAAAGAUGAAAUGUUUGUGUUAGGAAGAUUGCCAAAACCUAUUUUUGCAAAACCAUUUCUACAGCAAGAUGAUGAAGAAGGUAUACAUGAAUCAGAGGUUUCCAAGUUUCAAGGAUAUAGUGUUGAACGGGAGUAUACUCCUCGGUUUAUUCCACCCAACUCUUUUGAGUAUAUUUGGGCUAAAAAAUGGAAAGAUCUUUAUCUUGAAGAAGAAGGAAAAAAAGCUAAAUUAGAACAAGAAUUACAAGAUGCAAGGUUUAAUUUAGAAAAUGAGAUGGAGGCUGCAAGUCGACAACAAGAUGCUGUUAGAAUUAGAGAAGAGCUUUUGCGUCGUCAAGAAGAACUUCGUCAGAUUGAAGAAGAUUUACAGAGAAGAUCUGCUGUAAUCAAUUUAAGAAAUGAACAUCGAAUUCCAGAUACUUCUAGAAAACGAGAGUUUGAUUCUCCGAAAAAUACUCCAUUGCCAUCCAGAGAAUUCCAACAAAGGCAGAUAGCUUUUAACGAAGAUAUUGUACGUCAGAAUGAGUUUAUUCUUCGACAACAAGCUGAGAUAGAAAUGAGAAGAAAAGACAUAUUAAGAGGGCCUUCCAUGCCUUCUAAUAUGAUUGCUAUUCGACCUGAUAUUAUGCGUCCCAUUACUAUUCCUCUUGGUAAUAUGCAGGUGCCUUCUCGCACUGUGAUGCAUGGGUUACCACAUGGUUUUAUGCCUUCACCUGCGGGAGGAAUACAACUUGCACCAAAUAUUCAAAGACCAAUGAUGAGAAUUUGACACAACCAAUGCAGGGGAUAAGUUGUGGUUUUGUUUCUGACAUGUUGGACACAAGUCAGCUAUUGCUAAUUGAGUUGGGGAAUCUGAAUAUGCAAGAACAAUAAUAUAUGCUAGAUUUGUAACAAGAACAAUAAUUUAUGCUAGAAUUAGUUGUUGAUUGAUUGGUUGUUGUUGUGGUGAAUUUUUUAGUUGUUCAUUGAUUGGUUGUUGUUGUGGUGAAUUUUUUAGUUGUUCAUUGAUUGGUUGUUGUUGUGGUGAAUUAUUUGGUUUGUCAGUGGUUAGAAGAUUUUGAGGUUAUGGAAAGAACCAAAGAUCUUUCACCUAGGAAAGUUGUUGUUACUAAAGCAUUGCAUGAAGAAAAAACGUAAUCACAUCGAGAAAUAGCUUCAAGACUACAAUUUUUUACAAAAAUCAGUAAGCCGUAUUAGCCAGGCUAUUAAGAAUGGGUAAAAUAACAUUUCUGCACGACAAGGAAAUUGUGGACGCAAGUCCAAAGUGAGCCUGAGAACCAAACUUAUCCAAAUGGCUAAAGUAAAUAGAAGAACCACUAGUGACUUGAAAAAUUCCUUCGAGAAGUAUGGUGUUGAUAUUUGCAGUUCUACGAUUAGAAGAAGGCUUAUUAAUGUCUUCCAGCACGUCAGCCAAGAAAGAAAGCCAAAAUAACAAUGGCAAUCACUAAAAAAAGGGUUAACUGGGCCCUAGAGGUUAAAUCUCGCUUUGGGAGUGAUUGGAGUAAGAUCCACUUCUCUGAUGAAUCCAUGUUUUCAAUAUGCGAUGAAAGCAGUCAAUAUGUGAGGAGAUCUUCAAACAAAGAGUUUUCUGAGACUUGUGUUGCUCAGACUGUGAAGCAUCCUACUACAGUUAUGGUGUGAAGCAUCAUCUCAGCCAAAGGCAUAGGGCGUUUAUAUAUUGUUGAAGGCACAAUGAAUCAACACCAGUAUUAGAAAGUUUUGGAAACAAAACCUCUUCCCCAUUUGAGAGGCUGGUUUUCUGAUGAAGACUGUGUUUUUUUUGUUUUUGCAAUUUGAUAAAAUUGCAAAAAAAAAAAAUAAUAACAGAGAGUAUUUCAUCACAAAAAUACUCUCAAACACAAAGAAACAUUUUGUCGCUCAACAGGUUUUGUGGAAAGAUUGAAGCUAUAUUUAAAUGUGAAUGAGUCACAAGUGUCUUACUUUCUAAGUAGUAAAGGUUCUUAAGAUCAUCCCACCUAGCAAUUGAAUUAUCAUCAUUGUCCUUAAACCGAGUUUCUUGAAAUUUUACAGUAAUUAUAUGAACAUAAUCGUAAAGUAAAAAAAUUUUUAGUCAGCCAUGGUUUCUCUUAAAAAGUUUCAAAGAGAGAAAAAAACUUUACAUUGACUUUACUAUUGUCACACAAUCGCAACACAACAACAUUUGCAUUGGAAAUUUAUCCAAGUAUAGAAUCAACUACUUCAUACUGAAAAUCUGAAGACAACAUACUGGAAUCAUGCAUACUAUAAAAGUGGGUCCACCAAAAAGACAUUUAGUCAUAACAGCUAAUAUUGUUUUUGCUAAUUUGUCUAGUUGAUUAACAGAUUUCCCAAAAAGUUCUCCACCGUGAUAAGUUAAUGAAGCUUUAACAUAUACUUCAUCACCUAUUAAAAUGCACCGUCGUUGUUGGUUAGUAAGUUUGCAAAAAUUAUGCAGAAUAAAUUCAUCAUUGUUUGAUUUUGAAGCUUUUGAUAUCAAUUUUUGCAGAGUAGAAACACUGGGUAGCUGAUACACACUGGGUAGCUGAUAAUCAUUUCGAAUUCGCUUAUUAAGUGCUCUUGAAACAGAAAAAUAUUCAAAAGCUCGAAAAAUAGUGUUUGAAGAAAUAAUAUAUUGCCAAUACUUAAAAUUUUCAUAGAAGAUAAACUUUCUAUAAUAA